UUAUCUUAAAGCAGUAAGGUCCCUAACCCCCAAGAAGCUAAGAGGAUGAGGGAUGUGGAGAGAUACUUGUUGAAGACCAAUGAGCUGCCUUGGACAGUAUGAUGCCUGCCUGGGAGACAUGACCAAGCUGGCAAUGUCUGAAAAGUUUUCAUGUUGGCGGGUGGAGGAAGAUGGUGUGUACCUCACAGAACUGCUAGAAGAGAGCAUGGAAAGCACUGAAGAGUGCCUGGCACUUGGUCGACAGUCAAAGCUAGUUGGCUUUCUUCCUUGCCUCGCCCCGCAUAUUCCACUGUGUUCCUGGCUAUGGAAGGAGGCUGGCAAGCAUCAGGGACUAUUAGGAAGAUGAAAGAGGGAAGCUUCAGGAGGAAAUGGUCUCAGGGACUUCAAGAGGAGGUACCACCUGCAUCAGGCCCACCUGCCCUAUUUGAUACACAAAGACCAGUGGAGAAGGCUGGGAUAACGGCUCAAAAGUUGUUAAAUAUUUUGCCCAUGAAAUGCGCACGGAGAACAGAAAUUUGAACAUCUUCCAAUAUAAGUGGCACUCGAAAUAAUGGUGUCCGCAUGUUGCUGGUGUGGAGGGAAGGCAAGCCUGCUGGAGAAGCGGGAAGGGUCUCUCUCAUUUGCCCUGGUCUCUCCUCUUCUUCUUAU
This 648-nucleotide long non-coding RNA is filed under the name Ursus maritimus (polar bear). RNAcentral's name for it is "lncRNA (ENSUMAG00000004018.1)". The record is from RNAcentral. Lineage: Eukaryota; Metazoa; Chordata; Mammalia; Carnivora; Ursidae.